UAGGGAAUCUUCCACAAUGGGCGCAAGCCUGAUGGAGCAACACCGCGUGAGUGAAGAAGGGUCUCGGCUCGUAAAGCUCUGUUGUUAAAGAAGAACACGUAUGAGAGUAACUGUUCAUACGUUGACGGUAUUUAACCAGAAAGUCACGGCUAACUACGUGCUAG
RNAcentral lists this ribosomal RNA (164 nucleotides) under uncultured bacterium. RNAcentral describes it as "partial 16S rRNA". It matches the Rfam family "Bacterial small subunit ribosomal RNA", at positions 355 to 511 of the family's 1533-position model. The record is from RNAcentral.